This 253-nucleotide ribosomal RNA is filed under the name uncultured bacterium. RNAcentral's name for it is "partial 16S ribosomal RNA". It matches the Rfam family "Bacterial small subunit ribosomal RNA", at positions 524 to 776 of the family's 1533-position model. The record is from RNAcentral.
UACGGAGGGUGCAAGCAUUGAUCGGAAUUACUGGGCGUAAAGGGCGCGUAGGCGGCUUAGAAAGUCGGAUGUGAAAUUCCGGGGCUCAACCCCGGAGCUGCAUUUGAAACUCCUGAGCUAGAGUUCAGUUAGGGUAAACGGAAUUCCACGUGUAGCGGUGAAAUGCGUAGAUAUGUGGAAGAACACCGGUGGUGAAGACGGUUUACUGGGCUGAGACUGACGCUGAGGCGCGAAAGCAUGGGGAGCAAACAGG